GCCCUUAAUCCAACGUGACUGGUUUCCUUUAUAAAAAGAACUUUGGACUCAGUCAGGCACAUGGGAGGACACCACGUGAGUGUGAAGGCAGAGAUCAGGGUGAUAUCUACCAGCCAAGGCACGCCAAAAGCUUCCCAGCAAACCAGCAGGAGCUGGGGCACAGGCAGGUACAGAUUCUCCCUCCCAGCCUCAGGAGGAACCAGCCCCCCCUACACCGUGAUCUCAGACUUCCAGCUUCUCCAACAGGGAGAUGAUGCAUUCCCGUUGUUGAAGGCCCCUAGCUUGCGUUUCUUCUUUCCAGCAGCCCUAACUAAGGAGUGGAGACGAGAAAGCUUCUUUUAUUGAGCACCUGAGAACAUUCUUGAUAGGCCCCUCUCCGCCUUCAUCCUGGAAGAAACACGCAUGUCUUUCAGCGAAUGGACGGUGGCACCAGACAGAACGGAGUCGGAAUCCUGCCUUGGUGACUGCUUCUGCGCGAUGAGCAUUUGAGCCGCCCAGGUGACCUCACGGAGCUCUGUCUUGGGACGCCCAGUGUCUGCUUCAUAGCCUGACCAGGAGGGUGAGGAUCGUCUAUGUGAAUCACCGGAUAGCACUGCCCCUGCAUCAGAAUGCACUUGACAUGAUACAACCAUUCCCUUUCCUUGGCUCUCUGCCUCUUCCUAUUUUGCGUUUCUUGUUAUUCCUGCGGUCUCCCCAGGUAGGAACUAAUCACAUGUUGAGGGCAUCCUGAGACUGUUGUCCUGAACUCCCCCCAUCUCAUGAAACACUCGGAGUAUGUUUCUCCCUCCUUUUUUUUCAUGCUUCAGUUGGGUUUCUGGCAGACUCACAGCAGUCUUCAGCCAGGAGGCCGAUUCCCCGCGUUGACGUGGGCGCCAUCUCCUGGUCAUCUAAGGAAGUUUCCGUUCUAGACAUUGAAAGCAAGAGUCAACAGAUGCCUGCCCGGCUGGCCACCUCCUCUGUAGACAAAGCUGUAUUCACACACGACAGCCACAGCUCUCUGUCUGCAUGUGGUGUCCUGCGAUGCCGUCCCAAGUGACAUCAUCACACUCCGCGAUUGUUUUGGCACGGGACGGGAAGCCGGGUACCGCCCCUGGAGGUAGAAGCCCCUCUCCUGCUGCCAGGGUGGAGGCGGUCUUGGGAACCACAUGGCCAAGAAGUAUGGGCCUGGGGCCGCUGGUGAAAUCAGGCGGUCAGGAGCGGGUGGGACACAGGCGGGGGCGUUGAGAAAUUCCCUAUGAUCUUAUCUACAUGCAGCACACUGUGUGCACCUCUCCCCUCCGCCCACCCCCGGGCCUUGCUCUCCGCAGCUUGUUAGAGCUGCACUGUGCAGCUGUAUUUGUCUCUUCGACCGUGGCCAAGUUGAGGUUAUUUGGGUACCUGAGUCCCUUCUUCUUCAAUGUCCCUUGAAGUCAGCAGGCCACAUGGCACCGCGGUGCGCGCACAGCUUCCUGAUACAGAGAACAGGAAGACGUUUGCUCCUUUAUAUGCAAAUAAUAAGGGCCUACCAUCGCCUCACUCAUUAGCAGAAAGCUACUGAUGGAGAAGUAUUGCCAUCCGAGCCUCAAACGUUUGGUAAAAUGUUCUCAACGUUUAGCUGUUUUAUUCUUUGUCGCUCCUCCAGCCACUUAACUUCAUUCAGUUUGAUGUAAAUGUACGUUCCAGCAAUAAGUCAUCUUAGUUCUUACACCGUGAACUAGAAGGGACAAAGCAAGGCUUUCUACGGGCAUCUGCAACUGCAUUUUUGCUUAUGUGUUUGUUAAAUGGCUGAGGCCAGUUUUUGAUUAUGCUUACUUUUUUUUUUCCUAGGAUAAAAUCCUUACCUCCGAGACCGUGCCCCCUCCGGCUAUAGAUCAGCGCAUCCACACCCUGGUGUCAGUUCUUAUCUAUUCACAUGGAAACUUUGCUUUGCUUCUCCAGCCGGGGGCCUGUCUUCUGAGCUCCAGAACCAUCCAAACAUUAGACUGCCUACUCAGCGUCACCUCUGGAAUUUUGCAAACUCAACAUACUUAAAACCAUUUUCAUGCUUUUUUUCCCUUCCUUUCGUGCCCCCCGCCAGCCCCCUUCUCAUGCCUUACACACUAAACCUGUGUUCCGUAUUUCACCAGGAAGUGGCACAAGCCAAGAAACCGAGUAGGCUUCCCCACGCUGUCUUACAGCCACAUGUUCUUUUUAUUAUUAUUAUUAUUAAAUAUAAUUUAUUGUCAAACUGGUUGUCAUACAACACCCAGUGCUCAUCCCAACAGGUGCCCUCCUCGAUGCCCAUCACCCACUUUCCCCUCUCCCCCACCCCCCAUCAACCCUCAGUUUGUUCUCGGUAUUUAAGAGUCUCUUAUGGUCUGCCUCCUUCCCUGUCUGUAACUUUUUAUUUCCCCCCUUCCCCUCCCCCAUACAGCCACGUGUGUUCAAUUCGUGUACGAUUCCCUGUUCAUUUUAUUUUUUAUUUUUUAAGUUUAUUUAUUUAUUUUGAGAGAGAGACAGCAUGACUGGGGCGAGGGCCAGAGAGAGAGGGAGAGAGAGAGAAUCCCAAGCAGGCUCCGCACUGUCAGCGCAGAGUCCCACGUGGGAGUCGAACCCACCAACCAUGACAUCACAAUCUGAACCAAAAUCAAGAGUUGGACACUUAACUGACUGAGCCACCCAGGUGCCCCAUAUCCAUUGAUUUUAAUUCCCAGUUGACUUUUUUCCUCUCCAUCUUCAUGACCAUCACCCUAGUCCUAUCAUUUCCUGUUUUCUAAAUAUUAUUUUAUUUUAUUUACUUUUUUAUUUUUUAGAGAGAGAGAGAGUGAUAGAAGGAAGGGCAGAGGGGGAGACAGAGAGAGAAGGGGGGGGAUAGAGAGAGAGAGAGAGAGAGAAUCCCAAGUAGGCUUCAUGCCCAGCACAGAGCCCCAUGUGGGGCUUGAUCUCACAACUCUGGGAUCAUGACCAGAGUCAAAUAAUCUAUAAUUACUCAGUUGGUACUCAAUCAACUGAGCCACCCAGGUGCCCCUUAGAUAUAAUUUAAAUUUUAGCACAUAUUUUAAUUGGUAAUACAAAGAUAUAAAACCCCAAAUCAGAACGUAUAGAACAGUAUGCACUGAAAAAUCUCCUUCCUGCCAGUCCCCUAGCCAACCUGUUACUGUCCCCCAUGCAACUCAUGCUACCCAGUCCCUGCGUGUCCUUUGACACAGUGUAAAAUAUCCAAUUACUCUACUAUGCGUCUUGGUUUCUUUUAAUUAAAGAAUUUA
Acinonyx jubatus (cheetah) is the source of this 3224-nucleotide long non-coding RNA. RefSeq lists it as uncharacterized. Lineage: Eukaryota; Metazoa; Chordata; Mammalia; Carnivora; Felidae. The transcript is spliced from 3 exons. The record is from RefSeq and is a predicted model, not a curated record.